Buteo japonicus is the source of this 1762-nucleotide long non-coding RNA. The record is from Ensembl. NCBI's taxonomy places the organism in Eukaryota, Metazoa, Chordata, Aves, Accipitriformes, Accipitridae.
ACAGACAUGUAUGACAACACAGCAGGCAAUGUGACCCUUACGCUGGGUAUAGAUCCAGAAGAGCUGGAGGAGCUGCUCUGGUUUUUCCGCAGAGAAGACUCGUCAACGUGGAAUUACUCCGUUCUUGCACUUUCCUUCGUGGCCAUGAUUUUGGGUCUUCUUCUUCUGGCUAUUAACAUUGUGCGAAACAGGAAAAGGAAGAUCCACAUGUAUAGAGAAGUAGAAACCAUGCAGCAGGCUGAGCUGGAAGCCAAGCAAACCCUGAUGCCUGUGCAGGAAUACAGCCCGGCUGAACCAGGAGAGCAGGAGGUGGUGCCCCAGGAUCAGAGACCAGGAGAAGUGGUGGUCCAGUGGAAGGAUGGAACUGUCACGUCUCUGUACACAGAGAGGUCUGAGGAUGCCAUGUAACAUCAGCUGAAGUCAAAACAUUUAGGCCUUAAGGAAUAUAUCAGAAUGUCUUGAUUCAUAGUGAUGGACAUUUAAAAUCGCAGUUUAACCUGGGGAAACAGAAGAGAGAAGGGAGAGAAAGCAGCAGAACUGCACCAGCAGAAGUGGCUCUGGACUAGAGGCAAGCCUGUGCCUCCUCCGUUUCAGCUCCCAGCUGGCUGGUCUUUACCCGCUGCGCUUGGCUGCCUCCAGCCUUCUCUCCCCCACCAGCUUUACCCCCUUCUUCAGAUGCUGCCUGCCCCCCCCUGCCGCAAACGGGUGGGAGCCAAGCCAGGGCGGGAGGUGGGAGGCUUCUCCUGCGGUCAGCCAGGGAACGCGCUGUCAUGUCCCGUCAGGAAAACAGCUGCACUGAAGCGGAGGCACUUUUGUUCUUGUCAGAAAUCAUCUUUAUUAAAAUAUUUUCCAAAGUGGGUGAUCAAAAUCCCAUAUUGAAUCUCUCUCGCCAUCAGUAAGGUCAUAUAUAUAUAUAUAUAUAUGUACAAAUAUACACGUGGAUAUUUUACUCUGCAGAGUAACUGCAACUCCAGGGAGAAGCCGAACAUUUAACCUGAUACAGCAAAUGAAACUGAACGCACAGCCCUUGGCCCAGGCUUGGGCACGGGUAGAGCCUGGUCACCUGUAGGAUUCACUUCACGCUCUUCACCAGGCACAUGUAGAAGCCAUGAAAUAAUUUAAGACAUUUUUGGAAAUACGUCAGUCUUUUAAACAAAGGCUUUCAGAGCGUGUCCCCGUCAGUGAAGCAUCUCCUUGCAAAGCCUUCGAAAAAGAACACUAUAGUGUAAAAAGUUGAUUAAAAACCCAGCUAUUUUGGUAUGACUUAUUUCGAUGCAUGGGAAUCACUUUCAGGACACCUGAGGCCUUUAGUCAGCUGAAACAAUAUCUGCACCUUUCUCCUUUGGAUUAAAAAAAAAAUAAAUUCCUCCUACUUAUUGCUCGGACAGGAGAGCCGUGAGAUAAACGAGAUGGGUGCCUCCGUGCUUGAUUAACAAUAAGCUCCCCCUUCCCAGCCACCCAUCGCUGUGUGCCAGGCACCCAAGCCGGUUGGGGGGCCCUGGGAACAGCCCUCACCCUCCAGGUGGUGCCCACGGUUCCGGCUGCUCUGGGAGCUGCCCGGAUAAGCACGGAAAGCCGGGCUGGCCCCCGCUGCCGGCGACAGGACAGGGUGCAAACACCGAAGCAGGGCUUGGCCAUGGGGGAUGAGAGCCGGGGCAAGGGCAGGCAGAAUGAUGCCACAGCUGAUCUCGGACUCUCGGCACCCUGUCUGCUCACCACAUUGCCAUCACGUGCUUCACCCCGGCAUGGAGACCGGGGCCAC